GACGAACGCUGGCGGCGUGCUUAACACAUGCAAGUCGAACGGAAAGGCCCCUUUGGGGGUACUCGAGUGGCGAACGGGUGAGUAACACGUGAGUAACCUGCCCUUGACUUCGGGAUAACUUCAGGAAACUGGGGCUAAUACCGGAUAGGAAUCCUUGCUGCAUGGUGGGGGUUGGAAAGCUUCGGCGGUUUUGGAUGGACUCGCGGCUUAUCAGCUUGUUGGUGGGGUAGUGGCUUACCAAGGCUUUGACGGGUAGCCGGCCUGAGAGGGCGACCGGCCACAUUGGGACUGAGAUACGGCCCAGACUCCGACGGGAGGCGGAAGUGGGGAAGAUUGCACAAUGGGCGGAAGCCUGAUGCAGCAACGCCGCGUGCGGGAUGACGGCCUUCGGGUUGGAAACCGCUUUCAGCAGGGGCGAAGCUUGUGGUGACGGUACCUGCAGAAGAAGCACCGGCUAACUACGUG
This 465-nucleotide ribosomal RNA is filed under the name uncultured bacterium. RNAcentral's name for it is "partial 16S ribosomal RNA". It matches the Rfam family "Bacterial small subunit ribosomal RNA", at positions 28 to 507 of the family's 1533-position model. The record is from RNAcentral.